CGUGUAGGCGGACUCGCAAGUCGGUUGUGAAAUCCCUGGGCUCAAUCUAGGAACUGCAUCCGAAACUGCUUGUCUUGAGUAAUGGAGAGGGUGGCGGAAUUCCCGGUGUAGAGGUGAAAUUCGUAGAUAUCGGGAGGAACAUCAGUGGCGAAGGCGGCCACCUGGACAUUUACUGACGCUGAGACGCGAAAGCGUGGGGAGCAAACAGGAUUAGAUACCCUGGUAGUCC
This 229-nucleotide ribosomal RNA is filed under the name uncultured bacterium. RNAcentral describes it as "partial 16S ribosomal RNA". It matches the Rfam family "Bacterial small subunit ribosomal RNA", at positions 568 to 796 of the family's 1533-position model. The record is from RNAcentral.